UUUUCUUUCAAAAAAAAAAAAUGGCUGCAUUCCACAAAUGCAUGAUAGCAACACAGCAAAUCAGCAAACAGUUCAACUACAUAAGAAUUUUCAUACCACAUAUUUCAAUGAACGCCAAUCCAAAAUUUAUAAGCUAAACAAGCUCCCAUAAAAUGAGGUUCUCCAAGAAACUCAACAUGCCAAAUCAAAGCCAACAAUGCAUGAGUUUCAUUGUUGGUUAAGCAGUGAAAUAGAACAAAGACCACAACUCAGUAAUCAGAAGGUGAGAUGACAUCAUCAAUUUUUAAUAUCAUUUUGACAACUUGUGUUGC
RNAcentral lists this unclassified non-coding RNA (311 nucleotides) under Hevea brasiliensis (rubber tree). Lineage: Eukaryota; Viridiplantae; Streptophyta; Magnoliopsida; Malpighiales; Euphorbiaceae. The record is from RNAcentral.